This 324-nucleotide unclassified non-coding RNA is filed under the name soil metagenome. Its description in RNAcentral is "partial contains 5.8S ribosomal RNA, internal transcribed spacer 2, and large subunit ribosomal RNA". The stretch from base 1 to 120 matches the Rfam family "5.8S ribosomal RNA", at positions 35 to 154 of the family's 154-position model. The record is from RNAcentral.
GAUGAAGAACGCAGCGAAAUGCGAUAAGUAGUGUGAAUUGCAGAAUUCAGUGAAUCAUCGAAUCUAUGAACGCACAUUGCGCCCCUUGGUAUUCCAUGGGGCAUGCCUGUUCGAGCGUCAUUUGUACCUUCAAGCUUUGCUUGGUGUUGGGUGUUUGUCCCUCGGGACUCGCCUUAAAGUCAUUGGCAGCCAGUGUUUUGGUUUUGAAGCGCAGCACAAGUCGCGAUUCAAGGCUAUCCGCCCGCUUCCACAAGCCUUUUUCACUUUUGACCUCGGAUCAGGUAGGGAUACCCGCUGAACUUAAGCAUAUCAAUAAGCGGAGGA